UGGCGGACGGGUGAGUAACGCGUGGGGAACCUGCCCUGUACAGGGGGAUAACACUUAGAAAUAGGUGCUAAUACCGCAUAAGCGCACAGUAUCGCAUGAUACAGUGUGAAAAACUCCGGUGGUACAGGGUGGACCCGCGUCUGAUUAGCUGGUUGGCGGGGUAACGGCCCACCAAGGCGACGAUCAGUAGCCGGCCUGAGAGGGUGAACGGCCACAUUGGGACUGAGACACGGCCCAAACUCCUACGGAAGGCAGCAG
Molecule: ribosomal RNA, 258 nt
Filed under: uncultured bacterium
Lineage: Bacteria
Description: partial 16S ribosomal RNA
Rfam family: Bacterial small subunit ribosomal RNA
Source: RNAcentral